This 253-nucleotide ribosomal RNA is filed under the name uncultured bacterium. Its description in RNAcentral is "partial 16S ribosomal RNA". It matches the Rfam family "Archaeal small subunit ribosomal RNA", at positions 474 to 727 of the family's 1478-position model. The record is from RNAcentral.
UACCAGCACCCCGAGUGGUCGGGACGAUUAUUGGGCCUAAAGCAUCCGUAGCCGGUUUUACAAGUCCUCCGUUAAAUCCAGCUGCUUAACAGAUGGGCUGCGGAGGAUAUUAUAAGACUAGGAGGCAGGAGAGGCAAGCGGUACUCGAUGGGUAGGGGUAAAAUCCGUUGAUCCAUUGAAGACCACCAGUGGCGAAGGCGGCUUGCCAGAACGCGCUCGACGGUGAGGGAUGAAAGCUGGGGGAGCAAACCGG